RNAcentral lists this unclassified non-coding RNA (986 nucleotides) under Hevea brasiliensis (rubber tree). Lineage: Eukaryota; Viridiplantae; Streptophyta; Magnoliopsida; Malpighiales; Euphorbiaceae. The record is from RNAcentral.
GUUCACGGCAGUUAAUGGUUUUUCCUUCCUGCUUUAUAUAAAAUUAUAAUCCCAUCGUCUUUCUCUUGACCAACGCGCUGUGUACACUUUAGACUGACUCAGUUCCCGCCGUUGUGACUCGCUCCGGAUUGGCGGUUUGGGCCCUGGUUGUGGGACUCGAUUCGGAUUUUGGAUUUGGUGAGGUUUUAAGGAAAAGCAGAGUAUUCCACAAUGAAGGCGCUGAUUCUUGUUGGAGGGUUUGGGACACGGUUGAGGCCAUUGACCCUCAGUGUACCUAAACCACUUGUUGAAUUUGCCAACAAACCUAUGAUCCUACAUCAGAUUGAGGCGCUUAAGGAAAUUGGAGUGACUGAAGUGGUUUUGGCUAUUAACUACCAACCAGAGGUGAUGUUGAACUUCUUGAAGGAAUUCGAGGCUAAGCUAGGGAUCAAGAUCACAUGCUCUCAAGAGACUGAGCCACUCGGCACUGCUGGUCCUUUGGCUCUAGCAAGGGACAAAUUGAUUGAUGAUUCUGGUGAACCAUUUUUUGUUCUCAACAGUGAUGUCAUCAGCGAGUACCCACUCAAAGAAAUGAUACAGUUCCACAAAACCCAUGGAGGAGAGGCUUCCAUAAUGGUGACCAAGGUGGAUGAGCCAUCAAAAUAUGGUGUGGUGGUUAUGGAAGAAGCUACAGGAAAAGUUGAGAGAUUUGUGGAAAAACCCAAAAUAUUUGUUGGAAACAAAAUAAAUGCCGGAAUUUAUCUGUUGAAUCCAUCAGUUCUUGACCGAAUUGAACUGAGACCCACCUCAAUUGAGAAAGAGGUCUUCCCUAAAAUUGCAGCAGAUAAAAAGCUCUAUGCAAUGGUCCUUCCAGGUUUCUGGAUGGACAUUGGACAGCCAAGAGAUUACAUUACUGGUCUGAGACUCUAUCUAGAUUCCUUGCGAAAGAAAUCCUCAUCUAGGUUAGCCACUGGUCCCCAUGUUGUGGGAAAUGUUUUGGUGGAUGA